GGCACUACAAGUCCCAGCAGCCCCAGCGUUAUAUAAGGAAGUAGUGAAGUUUGUUUGCUCUUUCGCUUCCGCUUUUGAUUUCGGGGAUGUCGUGGCGGAUUUAGAAGUUGAAAAGAAUGAUAUAGCACUUCAAAAGAAUGGCAGCAGAUAAGCAGUUACGUUAAAUAAUGCCGGAGCUUCGUCGUGAACUGAACAUAUGAUGCACCGAUUAAGGAGUGUUGUGGCUGGAUUAUUGCCUGACUGAUGGUUGCCUGACUGUCCCUGUCAGGGAAUAGGCUG
Molecule: long non-coding RNA, 279 nt
Organism: Sinocyclocheilus anshuiensis
Lineage: Eukaryota; Metazoa; Chordata; Actinopteri; Cypriniformes; Cyprinidae
Exons: 3
Source: RefSeq, a predicted model, not a curated record